AAUCAACGCUGGCGGCGUGCCUAACACAUGCAAGUCGAACGGGAAAGUACUUUUCGGAGUACAAGUAAAGUGGCGAACGGGUGAGUAACGCGUGGGUGAUCUACCCUUGGGUGGGGGAUAACCCGGGGAAACUCGGGCUAAUACCGCAUAAGCCUGGAGUUGUAAGUGACUUCAGGGAAAGUUUUUGGAUGCCCAAGGAGGAGCCCGCGUCCGAUUAGCUAGUUGGUGAGGUAAGGGCUCACCAAGGCGACGAUCGGUAACCGGUCUGAGAGGACGGACGGUCACACUGGGACUGAGACACGGCCCAGACUCCUACGGGAGGCAGCAGUGGGGAAUUUUGGGCAAUGGGCGAAAGCCUGACCCAGCAACGCCGCGUGGAGGAUGAA
RNAcentral lists this ribosomal RNA (386 nucleotides) under uncultured bacterium. RNAcentral's name for it is "bacterial SSU rRNA". It matches the Rfam family "Bacterial small subunit ribosomal RNA", at positions 32 to 412 of the family's 1533-position model. The record is from RNAcentral.